AAUACUGCUUUUGGUAGGUUGAGUGGAUAAGGUGAUGGACUAGAAAUCCAUUGGGGUUUCCCUGCACAGGUAAAAAUCCUGUUGGUAUGU
RNAcentral lists this transfer RNA (90 nucleotides) under Pleuronectes platessa (European plaice). RNAcentral describes it as "tRNA-Ser". Lineage: Eukaryota; Metazoa; Chordata; Actinopteri; Pleuronectiformes; Pleuronectidae. The record is from RNAcentral.